RNAcentral lists this ribosomal RNA (253 nucleotides) under uncultured bacterium. RNAcentral's name for it is "partial 16S ribosomal RNA". It matches the Rfam family "Bacterial small subunit ribosomal RNA", at positions 524 to 776 of the family's 1533-position model. The record is from RNAcentral.
UACGGGGGGGGCAAGCGUUGUUCGGAAUUACUGGGCGUAAAGGGCUCGUAGGUGGCCAACUAAGUCAGACGUGAAAUCCCUCAGCUUAACUGGGGAACUGCGUCUGAUACUGGAUGGCUUGAGUUUGGGAGAGGGAUGCGGAAUUCCAGGUGUAGCGGUGAAAUGCGUAGAUAUCUGGAGGAACACCGGUGGCGAAGGCGGGUCUCUGGGCCGAUACUGACGCUGAGGAGCGAAAGCGUGGGGAGCAAACAGG